This 67-nucleotide transfer RNA is filed under the name Chloronia mexicana. Its description in RNAcentral is "tRNA-Ser". The record is from RNAcentral. Lineage: Eukaryota; Metazoa; Arthropoda; Insecta; Megaloptera; Corydalidae.
AAAGUAUGAAGUCCAAGAAAAAGCUGCUAACUUUUUUCUUUAGCGGUUAAAUUCCGUUUAUACUUUU